AUGAACUUGCAAUUGUUUGUAUUUCUUAUACUUUCAAUGGAAUUUGUAGAUAAAGAUAACUACCCUCUGUUUGCACAAUUGAACACUAUACAUUGACUCCCAUUGUAAAAAAAACCACUCAAAAAAUAAUACAAAAAUCAUGAGCUAAAAAUCCAAUAAAUAAUAUGAAAAUACAUAUCUUUUCAUAGUAUUAAAAAAUUCAGCAUAUGACACAUCCAAUAGGAUCUUGUUCCACUCUUGAAACAGAAGAAUAUUGAAUAUAUUGUGGUUGUUGCAUGUAAUAAUAAUGAGGAUAGGCUUCAAGUAAUUGAAUUUGGUCCUUCUUCACAUCAGGCUUAGGUUCUUCUUUCUUCUUUUCAUCUUUUGCAGGUCCAACAGAAACUAUUUCAGCAUGACACCACUUCCUAAGUUUGCUUACUAC
RNAcentral lists this long non-coding RNA (421 nucleotides) under Medicago truncatula (barrel medic). Its description in RNAcentral is "lncRNA gene35975". The record is from RNAcentral. Lineage: Eukaryota; Viridiplantae; Streptophyta; Magnoliopsida; Fabales; Fabaceae.